ACACAUGCAAGCCGAGCGGUAUGAUUCUUUCGGGAAUCAGAGAGCGGCGUACGGGUGCGGAACACGUGUGCAACCUGCCUUUAUCUGGGGGAUAGCCUUUCGAAAGGAAGAUUAAUACCCCAUAAUAUAUUGAGUGGCAUCACUUAAUAUUGAAAACUCCGGUGGAUAGAGAUGGGCACGCGCAAGAUUAGAUAGUUGGUGGGGUAACGGCCUACCAAGUCGAUGAUCUUUAGGGGGCCUGAGAGGGUGAUCCCCCACACUGGUACUGAGACACGGACCAGACUCCUACGGGAGGCAGCAGUGAGGAAUAUUGGACAAUGGGUGCAAGCCUGAUCCAGCCAUCCCGCGUGAAGGACGACGGCCCUAUGGGUUGUAAACAACUUUUGUACAGGGAUAAACCUAGAUACGUGUAUCUAGCUGAAGGUACUGUACGAAUAAGCACCGGCUAACUCCGUGCCAGCAGCCGCGGUAAUACGGAGGGUGCAAGCGUUAUCCGGAUUUAUUGGGUUUAAAGGGUCCGUAGGCGGAUCAGUAAGUCAGUGGUGAAAUCUCAUAGCUUAACUAUGAAACUGCCAUUGAUACUGCUGGUCUUGAGUAAGGUAGAAGUAGCUGGAAUAAGUAGUGUAGCGGUGAAAUGCAUAGAUAUUACUUAGAACACCAAUUGCGAAGGCAGGUUACUAUGUCUUAACUGACGCUGAUGGACGAAAGCGUGGGGAGCGAACAGGAUUAGAUACCCUGGUAGUCCACGCUGUAAACGAUGCUAACUCGUUUUUGGGUUUUCGGAUUCAGAGACUAAGCGAAAGUGAUAAGUUAGCCACCUGGGGGAGUACGAACGCAAGUUUGAAACUCAAAGGAAUUGACGGGGGCCCGCACAAGCGGUGGAUUAUGUGGUUUAAUUCGAUGAUACGCGAGGAACCUUACCAAGGCUUAAAUGGGAAUUGAUCGGUUUAGAAAUAGACCUUCCUUCGGGCAAUUUUCAAGGUGCUGCAUGGUUGUCGUCAGCUCGUGCCGUGAGGUGUUAGGUUAAGUCCUGCAACGAGCGCAACCCCUGUCACUAGUUGCCAUCAUUAAGUUGGGGACUCUAGUGAGACUGCCUACGCAAGUAGAGAGGAAGGUGGGGAUGACGUCAAAUCAUCACGGCCCUUACGCCUUGGGCCACACACGUAAUACAAUGGCCGGUACAGAGGGCAGCUACACAGCGAUGUGAUGCAAAUCUCGAAAGCCGGUCUCAGUUCGGAUUGGAGUCUGCAACUCGACUCUAUGAAGCUGGAAUCGCUAGUAAUCGCGCAUCAGCCAUGGCGCGGUGAAUACGUUCCCGGGCCUUGUACACACCGCCCGUCAAGCCAUGGAAGUCUGGGGUACCUGAAGUCGGUGACCGUAAAAGGAGCUGCCUAGGGUAAGAC
This 1403-nucleotide ribosomal RNA is filed under the name Chryseobacterium daecheongense. RNAcentral describes it as "16S ribosomal RNA". It matches the Rfam family "Bacterial small subunit ribosomal RNA". Lineage: Bacteria; Pseudomonadati; Bacteroidota; Flavobacteriia; Flavobacteriales; Weeksellaceae. The record is from RNAcentral.